This 2391-nucleotide ribosomal RNA is filed under the name Catogenus rufus. Its description in RNAcentral is "eukaryotic LSU rRNA". It matches the Rfam family "Eukaryotic large subunit ribosomal RNA", at positions 44 to 1868 of the family's 3401-position model. The record is from RNAcentral. Lineage: Eukaryota; Metazoa; Arthropoda; Insecta; Coleoptera; Passandridae.
AAUUAAGCGGAGGAAAAGAAACUAACUAGGAUUCCCUUAGUAGCUGCGAGCGAAUAGGGAAAAGGUCAGCACCGAAUCCCGCGGCCGGCACCGGACGCUGGGAAAUGUGGUGUUAGGGAGGAUCCAUUUAUCUCGAAAUUGGUGGUGCGUCCAAGUCCUUCUUGAAUGGGGCCACAGCCCCAUAGAGGGUGCCAGGGCCCGUAGUGACCAUUGCCAGUUGCGAGAGGAUCUCUCCUCAGAGUCGGGUUGCUUGAGAGUGCAGCCCUAAGUGGGUGGUAAACUCCAUCUAAAGCUAAAUAUAACCACGAGACCGAUAGCGAACAAGUACCGUGAGGGAAAGUUGAAAAGCACUUUGAAGAGAGAGUUCAAGAGUACGUGAAACCGUUCAGGGGUAAACCUGAGAAACCCGAAAGGUCGAAAGGGGAAAUUCAUUCGCGUCUCGUUAUUGGCAAUAGAUGUUUGUAUGACAAAUAAGGUACGCCGAAUUUGCUUCAUUCAUCUUGUUGAACUAAUAUCGAAUGCGUGCACUUUUCCCCUAGUAGGACGUCGCGAUCCGUUGAGUGUCAGUCUAAGGUCUAUGGUGGAGACUAUCUGAAUAGUAAUUAUUACUACCUUUGGAUAGACCCAUGGUAUCCCGACUGACUCGCUCGACGGUAUACAGAUGGUGCAGAGCCGCAAAAUUUAAUUUGCGUUCGGCCCAUAGCAAGCACGUGUGGAUUUAAAUUAGAAUUAUCGGACUUUGUGCCGAUUCUGAUGCCAGACGACUGUUGGCUAUGUGUGUUCUUGAACAGACUCUGAAAAUUCAUAAUGAAACACCGAUCUGCGGCGCUAUAGCUUUGGGUACUUUCAGGACCCGUCUUGAAACACGGACCAAGGAGUCUAGCAUGUGCGCGAGUCAUUGGGAAUUUAAUUAAACCUAAAGGCGUAAUGAAAGUAAAGAUUUACCUUGCGUGAAUCUAGGGAAGAUGGGUAGUUUGCCCAUAAAGUGGCUACCUCGCAUUCCCGGGGCGUCUCAUUCUCAUUAUGAGAAGAGGCGCACCAAGAGCGUACACGCUGGGACCCGAAAGAUGGUGAACUAUGCCUGGUCAGGACGAAGUCAGGGGAAACCCUGAUGGAGGUCCGUAGCGAUUCUGACGUGCAAAUCGAUCGUCGGAACUGGGUAUAGGGGCGAAAGACUAAUCGAACCAUCUAGUAGCUGGUUCCCUCCGAAGUUUCCCUCAGGAUAGCUGGCGCUCAUUGCAUACGAGUCUCAUCCGGUAAAGCGAAUGAUUAGAGGCAUUGGGGUCGAAACGACCUCAACCUAUUCUCAAACUUUAAAUGGGUGAGAUCUCCGGCUUGCUCAAAUUUUUGAAGCCGUGAGAAAUGGAUCAGAGUGCCAAGUGGGCCAUUUUUGGUAAGCAGAACUGGCGCUGUGGGAUGAACCAAACGCUGCAGUUAAAGCGCCAUAAAUCGACGCUUAUGGGAUACCAUGAAAGGCGUUGGUAACUUAAGACAGCAGGACGGUGGCCAUGGAAGUCGGAAUCCGCCAAGGAGUGUGUAACAACUCACCUGCCGAAGUUACUAGCCCUGAAAAUGGAUGGCGCUGAAGCGUCGUGCUUAUACUCGGCCGUCAGUGGCAUGUGCGGUCACAAAUUUUUUGGGCCAUGAAGCCCUGACGAGUAGGAGGGUCGCGGCGGUGAGCGCACAAGGGCUGGCCGUGAGGCCGUCUGGAGCCGCCGUCGGUGCAGAUCUUGGUGGUAGUAGCAAAUACUCCAGCGAGGCCCUGGAGGACUGACGUGGAGAAGGGUUUCGUGUGAACAGCCGUUGCACACGAGUCAGUCGAUCCUAAGCCCUAGGCGAAAGCCGAUGUUAAUGUGGUGUAUGUUUUAUUUAUGUACUAUAUAUUAUAAAUUUUUUUUUUUAUAAAUAUGCAUAAAUAUUGUUUAUUUUAUACAUAUGUAUGUAUGUAUAGGAAAACAAAAACAAUAUAGAAGCAUAUAAGAAAAAAAGAAUACAAAAUAUGUGUAUUUAUUUACAAAAAACAUAUGUAUGUAUUUUACAAAAAUUAUAAUAAUAAUUUAGAAAAAGUACACACCCAUAGGGCGAAAGGGAAUCCGGUUCCUAUUCCGGAACCCGGUAGCGGAACCGUUAAUUAGUCGGGCCCUCGCAAGAGAGUUCGUCGGGGUAACCCAAAAGGACCCGGAGACGCCGUCGGGAGAUCCGGGAAGAGUUUUCUUUUCUGCAUGAGCGUUCGAGUUCCAUGGAAUCCUCUAGCAGGGAGAUAUGGUUUGGAACGCGAAGAGCACCGCAGUUGCAGCGGUGUCCGGAUCUUCCCCUCGGACCUUGAAAAUCCGGGAGAGGGCCACGUGGAGGUGUCGCACCGGUUCGUACCCAUAUCCGCAGCAGGUCUCC